RNAcentral lists this long non-coding RNA (1017 nucleotides) under Felis catus (domestic cat). RNAcentral's name for it is "lncRNA (ENSFCAG00000053462.1)". The record is from RNAcentral. Lineage: Eukaryota; Metazoa; Chordata; Mammalia; Carnivora; Felidae.
UUUCUGAUGCCCAGGCUAUACCCCAGAAAAAUUAAAUUAGAAUCUUUGGGGUUGGACUCCAACAUCACCAGUAUUUUUUGAAGGUUGUGCCUGCCAAAUGUGCUGUCAAGGUUGAGAACUACUAUGUUAGGCUCAGAGCAACAGACCCUUGACCAUAAACUCCAGUCUGUGUGCAGAUCUAGGUUCUGUCUUACACUUGAGGAGCCAUCUGCCUGAAGCUUAGAACUCUAGGGUGACCCUGUGGCCCUUUGGUAUCCUGGUUGGAGCCCAGCUGCAAGUAGGUGGGAUGAAUGAGAGCCAGGGAGUAAGGGGGUCUCUUCCCAUCCGCCCUAAGGUGAUGCUUUGGAAAUAACUACUUUUGAAAAUCUUCUUGACCUAAUUGUAAAACCCAGGAGAUGGAGUGUAGAAUCAACUGUCCUGAGUUGAGAAUUUUCUUAAUUUCUAGCAGGGGGAGGUCCAAGAUAAAUCAGAUAUUUUAGGUGUGGGUGAAAUCCACUUGAACCCAACUUGCAACAAUGGACAGAGGAUCCUUGGGGUGUAGUCAGUCCUUCUUUGGCUACUUUGUAGCUCUGAGAAAUUGAAUAUGUAGCCUAACCUCCUUGAGCUUCUACUACCUUAGCUCUAUAAUGUGUGGCAAUUUCUUCCUCCUACUGGGAUUGUGAGGCUCACAUGACACACUCUUUGAGGCAGCCAUCAUCAUUCCUAGCACUUAGUGCCUGAUACACGUUUGCUUCCUUUCUCUUGUCUAUGAAUAGGGUGUGGGCAUUGGCUCAGGUGCUCAGGCCCUACAGCAGCAUAUUAUUCUCAGACCCAUCUGACACGAACACCUGAUAUUAACUACUUCAGACUUAGUUGUGAAAUCGUAUGAAAUUCCACUUUCUUAAAAUCAGCAUUGAUUUAUUCAACAUAGAUAUCUCUUUGUGCUAAGCUCUGGAGAUAUCAAUGAAGCACAACCCUCAUCCUAAAGCAGUUAUGAGUUUAGGGGAAAGUCCAGCAUGUAACAACAAAGAUUACUUG